GUGCUCGCUUUGGUAGCGCAUAUACUAAAAUUAAUACUCUACAGAGAAGAGUAGCAUUGCGCCUGCACAGGAUGAUAUGCAAAUUAGUCAAGUGUGUCGCCUUUUU
Small nuclear RNA from Callithrix jacchus (white-tufted-ear marmoset), 106 nucleotides. The record is from Ensembl. Lineage: Eukaryota; Metazoa; Chordata; Mammalia; Primates; Cebidae.